Molecule: long non-coding RNA, 180 nt
Organism: Zingiber officinale
Lineage: Eukaryota; Viridiplantae; Streptophyta; Magnoliopsida; Zingiberales; Zingiberaceae
Exons: 3
Source: RefSeq, a predicted model, not a curated record
CGCCGUCGUAAGAGAUCAAAGAAGCUGAGCAAACAAGUAAAAAUUACCAGCAAAAGGUAAGAGAACUAGAGAAUCAAUUAAAUGGUGAGAGGACAACCAAGAAGGAUGUUGCAAAGUUCCCAAAGCCUUCAGUGGCUCCUUUAAGAUGGAGGCCUUCUUUACAAAAAAUCACCAAUCAAU